GAUGAACGCUGGCGGCGUGCCUAAUACAUGCAAGUCGAGCGAACAGACGAGGAGCUUGCUCCUCUGACGUUAGCGGCGGACGGGUGAGUAACACGUGGAUAACCUACCUAUAAGACUGGGAUAACUUCGGGAAACCGGAGCUAAUACCGGAUAAUAUAUUGAACCGCAUGGUUCAAUAGUGAAAGACGGUUUUGCUGUCACUUAUAGAUGGAUCCGCGCCGCAUUAGCUAGUUGGUAAGGUAACGGCUUACCAAGGCAACGAUGCGUAGCCGACCUGAGAGGGUGAUCGGCCACACUGGAACUGAGACACGGUCCAGACUCCUACGGGAGGCAGCAGUAGGGAAUCUUCCGCAAUGGGCGAAAGCCUGACGGAGCAACGCCGCGUGAGUGAUGAAGGUCUUCGGAUCGUAAAACUCUGUCAUUAGGGAAGAACAAAUGUGUAAGUAACUAUGCACGUCUUGACGGUACCUAAUCAGAAAGCCACGGCUAACUACGUG
RNAcentral lists this ribosomal RNA (497 nucleotides) under uncultured bacterium. Its description in RNAcentral is "partial 16S ribosomal RNA". It matches the Rfam family "Bacterial small subunit ribosomal RNA", at positions 28 to 507 of the family's 1533-position model. The record is from RNAcentral.